Non-coding RNA from Cinara cedri, 745 nucleotides. The record is from the annotation of a GenBank genome assembly. NCBI's taxonomy places the organism in Eukaryota, Metazoa, Arthropoda, Insecta, Hemiptera, Aphididae.
GUUUGGACCGUGCACCGCGCGCGGCGGUUUCGACGACGUGGAACGGUAAAGGAUUUUCGACCGUCGCCGACGACGCCUAGAGUCCUUGUCGAAGAAAAAAAAAUAAAUAUAAAUUACAUUAAACGUAUUUAUGUAUUAUCUAUAAUUUCGGAGGGGAAAAAAACGAGGUUUUUUUUUUUUUUUAUGCUGCCCCGCACGCGUCUGCCAUCACUCUGAGACAAUCAUCGUCCGAUCGGGUUUACGGGGUUCGACAAAAAUACAAUACAUUUCAACGCGCCGGACAUAUUGUCUGCACAAAACGAAAACGCAUUUGAUUUCAGUUCUUCCGAUGUCGCAUCGUCCGAGACGCUAUAAUCGCGAAUUGUUUCAAACGUUUACGUUUCUCGACCGUCAUUAUACAUCCCGUGGAUAAUGUACUGAAUGUUAUAAAAUACGCGAAAGUUUUGUUUGGAUGAUGCACGUGUGUUAUCCGCGCAUCUCGCCCAGACAAUACUGAACGGAUUGAGCUGAAACACUGCAUAAAUACGUAGUUCCAGACCGGGAACAACAUUGUUGCAUUUUUUUUCCCACUCCGUAUUCGAGUCCUAACGGUGGGGCGGCACAUGUGAUACGGAUACUUCGGUGAUACGGAUAAAAAAAAAAAAACAGUUAUAGUGUUAAUUAUAGUUAAUAAUUCGAUUGUCGCGAGCAAGGACGUAUACGCAUACAACAACGGUUAACAAUAACUGUAACAGAAACGAGGGCG